Molecule: ribosomal RNA, 433 nt
Filed under: uncultured bacterium
Lineage: Bacteria
Description: partial 16S ribosomal RNA
Rfam family: Bacterial small subunit ribosomal RNA
Source: RNAcentral
AACGAACGCUGGCGGCAUGCCUAACACAUGCAAGUCGAACGAGACCUUCGGGUCUAGUGGCGCACGGGUGCGUAACGCGUGGGAACCUGCCCUUAGGUUCGGAAUAACUCCCCGAAAGGGGUGCUAAUACCGGAUAAUGUCUUCGGACCAAAGAUUUAUCGCCUUUGGAUGGGCCCGCGUUGGAUUAGCUAGUUGGUAGGGUAAAAGCCUACCAAGGCGACGAUCCAUAGCUGGUCUGAGAGGAUGAUCAGCCACACUGGGACUGAGACACGGCCCAGACUCGUACGGGAGGCAGCAGUGGGGAAUAUUGGACAAUGGGCGAAAGCCUGAUACAGCAAUGCCGCGUGAGUGAUGAAGGCCUUAGGGUUGUAAAGCUCUUUUACCCGGGAUGAUAAUGACAGUACCGGGAGAAUAAGCUCCGGCUAACUCCGUG